AGCGAACGCUGGCGGCAGGCCUAACACAUGCAAGUCGAACGAACCUUUCGGGGUUAGUGGCGGACGGGUGAGUAACACGUGGGAACGUGCCUUUAGGUUCGGAAUAACUCAGGGAAACUUGUGCUAAUACCGAAUGUGCCCUUCGGGGGAAAGAUUUAUCGCCUUUAGAGCGGCCCGCGUCUGAUUAGCUAGUUGGUUGAGGUAAUGGCUCACCAAGGCGACGAUCAGUAGCUGGUCUGAGAGGAUGAUCAGCCUCAUUGGGACUGAGACACGGCCCAAACUCCUACGGGAGGCAGCAGUGGGGAAUCUUGCGCAAUGGGCGAAAGCCUGACGCAGCCAUGCCGCGUGAAUGAUGAAGGUCUUAGGAUUGUAAAAUUCUUUCACCGGGGACGAUAAUGACGGUACCCGGAGAAGAAGCCCCGGCUAACUUCGUG
This 434-nucleotide ribosomal RNA is filed under the name uncultured bacterium. RNAcentral describes it as "partial 16S ribosomal RNA". It matches the Rfam family "Bacterial small subunit ribosomal RNA", at positions 29 to 507 of the family's 1533-position model. The record is from RNAcentral.